AACAGACUCAAAAACAUGCUUAUUCAAGCACUGUUUGACCACUUGAGUAAUGAGACAAUGUAUCCCUCUCAUGUGCAGUAUGUAGAGCUUCUGAGGACUGUCCUUCUGAGUUUUCCUUUUUUGAAGGAGAGUUAUGGCUCUGGAUAUGAUGCUCUGCAUGAGUCUCUCAGGAACAAGUUUAAAAAGGAAAGAAGACCACUAGUAGACGUAGAGGAAAUUGAAAAAAUGAGACAGAAAUACUCAGUUCCAAAUUCAGGAAGAAAAAGAUCAUCAGAUG
Molecule: long non-coding RNA, 277 nt
Organism: Pelmatolapia mariae (spotted tilapia)
Lineage: Eukaryota; Metazoa; Chordata; Actinopteri; Cichliformes; Cichlidae
Exons: 3
Source: RefSeq, a predicted model, not a curated record